CUAACACAUGCAAGUCGAGCGGAAACGAGUUAACUGACCCUUCGGGUGACGUUAACGGCGUCGAGCGGCGGACGGGUGAGUAAUGCCUGGGAAAUUGCCCUGAUGUGGGGGAUAACCAUUGGAAACGAUGGCUAAUACCGCAUAAUGCCUUCGGGCCAAAGAGGGGGACCUUCGGGCCUCUCGCGUCAGGAUAUGCCCAGGUGGGAUUAGCUAGUUGGUAAGGUAAUGGCUUACCAAGGCGACGAUCCCUAGCUGGUCUGAGAGGAUGAUCAGCCACACUGGAACUGAGACACGGUCCAGACUCCUACGGGAGGCAGCAGUGGGGAAUAUUGCACAAUGGGCGCAAGCCUGAUGCAGCCAUGCCGCGUGUGUGAAGAAGGCCUUCGGGUUGUAAAGCACUUUCAGUCGUGAGGAAGGUAGUGUAGUUAAUAGCUGCAUUGCUUGACGUUAGCGACAGAAGAAGCACCGGCUAACUCCGUGCCAGCAGCCUCGGUAAUACGGAGGGUGCGAGCGUUAAUCGGAAUUACUGGGCGUAAAGCGCAUGCAAGUGGUUCGUUAAGUCAGAUGUGAAAGCCCGGGGCUCAACCUCGGAACUGCAUUUGAAACUGGCGGACUAGAGUACUGUAGAGGGGGGUAGAAUUUCAGUGUAGCGGUGAAAUGCGUAGAGAUCUGAAGGAAUACCAGUGGCGAAGGCGGCCCCCUGGACAGAUACUGACACUUAAAUGCGAAAGCCUGGGGAGCAAACAG
This 747-nucleotide ribosomal RNA is filed under the name Vibrio sp. UOH-23. RNAcentral's name for it is "bacterial SSU rRNA". It matches the Rfam family "Bacterial small subunit ribosomal RNA", at positions 48 to 775 of the family's 1533-position model. The record is from RNAcentral. Lineage: Bacteria; Pseudomonadati; Pseudomonadota; Gammaproteobacteria; Vibrionales; Vibrionaceae.